UUAAGUAUCGGAGGGGCGACGAGAACAUACCUCGUUAUCUUUGUUUCAGGUACCGGAAUACUACGAUCGUGCUCAAUCAAAACCAUCAAGCUCGAGAAAUCAACAGGUACGAUUUUUGGCAGCAUCACCAUCCUCCCCCGAUGAUGUGAGUAUUCACUACGGAUUUACCUUGUACACGAAGCAGCCUUCUACCUGAUUUCUAUAAUUCUCUUGCAUUAACACUGCAGUUUUUUAUUUUCAAAUACAAUCUCACCAAUCAAUAAUGGAUACGUUGACUCAAGUGGUCAAGUAAUUAAUCUCACCAAUCUCGACAAAAUUCAAAGCACGAUCAGUCAUUUCAAAAUUCACUUUAUGCGAAGUUCUUAAAAUGACAAUCAGUACAGAGUAAAGAGAAGAGGAAAAAAUAUGCGUGUGCGAGCAUCGUGCUUUAGGUGUUAAUAGAGGGGUAAAAAGAUUGUGAAGGCCUUUUAUUUUAGUUGUAGAUAGAGGGAAAACAGUGAAUGAAAGAUGAGAACGAAUGGUAAUUAUGAGUGGUGAUUAAAGGAUGAGCAAUUAAUGGAUGAUGAGGAUGGUCGAUAAUUGGAGAGCGAAUGGUCACUGAAGGAUUGUGCUUGAUGAUGUGGAUUAGCCAUUGUUGCGCGAUGAGCCCUCGUUUUUCCUAAGCCAAAUCGUUGUUGGGUAAUUGUCUUAACCUCUUGACGAAUUCAUUUCAUUGAAAUACCAAUUGGGUGAGGUUUCUAUGAUGUAUGGGUGGAGUUUGAAGGUUUUAGACAUGGAGGUGGUAAAAAGAGUGUGCGAUACAGCUGGGAGGCGAGAAUUCAGUUCACUGAAAUUAUUUCUAGGGCCAAACAGCGGGCGCCAAAUUAUAUAUGGUAGGUUCCUACAAUUGAGAACAGCGGAAUGAUAGACAGUGAAUAAUAAUAUCAAACUUCGAAAGAAACAACCAUUAAAGAUUCUCAGGAAGACACUGACAAAGUGCUGAAUAUUGACCCUCUAACGAUC
This 1002-nucleotide long non-coding RNA is filed under the name Olea europaea (common olive). RNAcentral describes it as "long non-coding RNA (OEUR_LNC013562)". The record is from RNAcentral. Lineage: Eukaryota; Viridiplantae; Streptophyta; Magnoliopsida; Lamiales; Oleaceae.